This 1094-nucleotide ribosomal RNA is filed under the name uncultured archaeon. RNAcentral's name for it is "bacterial SSU rRNA". It matches the Rfam family "Archaeal small subunit ribosomal RNA", at positions 353 to 1447 of the family's 1478-position model. The record is from RNAcentral.
CAAUGUGCGAAAGCACGACAAGGUUAAUCCGAGUGGUUUCUGCUAAAGGAACCUUUUGUUAGUCCUAGAAACACUAACGAAUAAGGGGUGGGCAAGUUCUGGUGUCAGCCGCCGCGGUAAAACCAGCACCUCAAGUGGUCAGGAUGAUUAUUGGGCCUAAAGCAUCCGUAGCCGGCUCUGUAAGUUUUCGGUUAAAUCUGUACGCUCAACGUACAGGCUGCCGGGAAUACUGCAGAGCUAGGGAGUGGGAGAGGUAGACGGUACUCGGUAGGAAGGGGUAAAAUCCUUUGAUCUAUUGAUGACCACCUGUGGCGAAGGCGGUCUACCAGAACACGUCCGACGGUGAGGGAUGAAAGCUGGGGGAGCAAACCGGAUUAGAUACCCGGGUAGUCCCAGCUGUAAACUAUGCAAACUCAGUGAUGCAUUGGCUUGUGGCCAAUGCAGUGCUGCAGGGAAGCCGUUAAGUUUGCCGCCUGGGAAGUACGUACGCAAGUAUGAAACUUAAAGGAAUUGGCGGGGGAGCACCACAAGGGGUGAAGCCUGCGGUUCAAUUGGAGUCAACGCCAGAAAUCUUACCCGGAGAGACAGCAGAAUGAAGGUCAAGCUGAAGACUUUACCAGACAAGCUGAGAGGUGGUGCAUGGCCGUCGCCAGCUCGUGCCGUGAGAUGUCCUGUUAAGUCAGGUAACGAGCGAGAUCCCUGCCUCUAGUUGCCACCAUUACUCUCAGGAGUAGUGGGGCGAAUUAGCGGGACCGCCGCAGUUAAUGCGGAGGAAGGAAGGGGCCACGGCAGGUCAGUAUGCCCCGAAACUCUGGGGCCACACGCGGGCUGCAAUGGUAAUGACAAUGGGUUCCAAAUCCGAAAGGAGGAGGUAAUCCUCAAACAUUACCACAGUUAUGACUGAGGGCUGCAACUCGCCCUCACGAAUAUGGAAUCCCUAGUAACUGCGUGUCAUUAUCGCGCGGUGAAUACGUCCCUGCUCCUUGCACACACCGCCCGUCGUUUCAUUGAAGUGAGCUUUUAGCGAGGUGACGUCUGAUUGGCGUUAUCGAACUUGAGGUUCGUGACAAGGGAAAAGUGGGUAACAAGGUAAC